UCUCAUUCUCUUUCUUCUUCUUCAUUCUUCAUUCUUUCUUCUUCUUCCUUCUUCUUCUCUCUUUUCUUCUGUUAGUGAACCCGAUAGAUGAUUUGAGAAAUUCACUGAGAAAAUCAGUUGAUAAGAAGGAUUAGAAUAAGUAUAAGAUGUUACUGGUGUUGGUGAGGAGGUGGUGUUGAUGUUUAUCGAGUUCGGGAAAAGAAGGAGAUGAUACUGUUAAUCAGAAAUUAGGGUUUAUAGAUUUGUUUGAUGUUUUGAGGAAUAAGAAGAUGAUAUAUAGAGCUACUAUUGGAUAAUGAAGCAUGGGUAGAUGUUCACUUGAAAUUCUGAAAUCGUUUUGAAGAUGAAUCAGAGAACCAAGUUAGGGUUUCUCAGAGAAUUCAAAUUAAUGAUGUAUAAGAGGAAUUAAAGAUUGGGUUUGGCUAAUUGAAGAAAAGUUGGUGUUUAAAUGAUGAAGAGAAGUUGUUCUGAAGUUGUACUGAAAGGAAAAGAAUCAGGGAUUAUGUUCUGUUUUUUUUCCCGAAAUAGAAAUUAGGGUUCUUGGAAGAAAUUGAACCGAACUGGUGGGUGGUUGUUGUCUUAAGAUGAAUUGGGGUUUCGAAUUAGUAAUGAUUAAAAUGAAAUUGAAUAUGAGUUCGUUCUUAAUAGGGUUGAUCUGAAGUUGAUUUGAGGAUCGAAUUGAGAAGUUAGGAUUCAUAAGAACAACUCAGGGAAGCAGUAGGUGAUGAAAUUGGUGAUUAAGCAAGGGGAUUUGAGACGGGUUUGAUAUGUAUUAAGGAUUUAGAGUGGUAUUACAAAUGAAGCUAAGCUUUAGAGGCUGAAACCGAUGAAGGUGAUUGAGUUUAGGGUUCUUGAUGGAACAGAGUUUUGGGGUUCAUGGGUUUGAGAUGCAGAUGAGGGGAUUCCGAUCCAGCGAUUGCUGUUACUGGGGUAAGCUUUUAAUUGUUCUAAUCUUGAUAUUUGAAGGAUGAAUCAGUGAAUUGUUAAGUUUAUAUAAUUGUUUUUGAAACUGUGUUAUGAGAUGGAUAUGGAGUAGAAUUGUUGAUAUGAAGUAGGUUGUGUUGAAUUACUAUGAACUAGAAUGAAUAGAGAAAGUGCAAGGAUGUGGAGUUGGAGAUGUUGUUGGUGCUGAGUUGGUGGAAGCGAUGUUAUCAAUGGUAGUGAUGAAUUUUGUUAUGAGUUAAGGAUGCAGGUGGUAGUAGUGGUGAUAAGCUUUAUAUGUGUUGUUGAAGUGUUUGAAUUGGAUUUCUUGUGGCGUUGGUGUUAAUGAGUUUAUGUUGGCUGAAGGCUGGGUUUGUGGUGAACUGAGGUAAUGGGUGUGCUGGUGUUCUUGAAAUGGAUGAAUCAAUUCAGAGGUAAUUGUUGUUAUUUAAUUUCUUAGAUUGAGUUUAUGUGAUUUUGAAUGGAAUUGAAGUGAUAAUGAUAAUUAUAGAAUUGUUGAGUAUAUAUUGUUAAUAAAGCUAAUACCUGAGGAGAAUAUGGAUUAGAACGGGUUUCUUAUGGAAGUUCAGGCUGUGUGAAAUUACAUGGAGAGGGAGAAAUAAGGUGAUAUUGGGUUCUGGUUGGUUGAAGUUGUGGGAUUGUUAAUAGACUCAUAGUUGAGUUAGAUGGAUACAUUAAGAUAUCUAUACGUAAGAUAUCUAUGGAAUGAAUGAUUUAUUGUAGACUAGUGGGUUUUCGUAACCAGGGAUGGUGAUGUUCUGUGUAUGUGAAGUUGCAGGUGUUAUGAGGUGAAUUGGUAGUGGACCAUGAUAUCUGCAGAUAGAGAUGUAAUAGGUGGAGGUACAGGGAAUGAUGUUGGGAGUAAUGGGAUGCUUGCACUGGUAGUGGUGAUGUUAUGGAAUCUGGUGGUGUUAUUGGUGCAGAUGAAUGAGUUGUAGAUGGAAUUGAGUCACUGUCGAUGGGUUGAGAUGAUGGUUGUCUGUGUGUUGAGAUGGCAGAUAUUGUGCUGUGAAUGCUGAAAUGGGUGUUGGUAUGAGUAGUGUAGGAUUAUAGUUGUGAGUUCAGUAAAAGCUUAAAGCUGCAACUGCAGUGGAUCGUGGAUCUCGAGGUAGGCGUGGCUCGUCAUCAAAAGAGGUGGGGAUACAUUUGACUCUUUUGUAACCAUUGUUUCUUUUACAAAAGUUUAUAUUUAAAAAACCAUGCAUUGUCUGUCUAUGCAUUUCAUGCUUUAUUUAAAUUGCAUUAUGAUAAUUCUGUUGAUUCUUUGAAUCUUUCCAUGAAAUGGAAAGGACUUGUACGGUAUGUCAUUAUGAAUUGUUAUGGGAAAUGAGAAUUUCCACUUGUGGUA
Papaver somniferum (opium poppy) is the source of this 2290-nucleotide long non-coding RNA. RefSeq lists it as uncharacterized. NCBI's taxonomy places the organism in Eukaryota, Viridiplantae, Streptophyta, Magnoliopsida, Ranunculales, Papaveraceae. The transcript is spliced from 2 exons. The record is from RefSeq and is a predicted model, not a curated record.